This 253-nucleotide ribosomal RNA is filed under the name uncultured bacterium. RNAcentral describes it as "partial 16S ribosomal RNA". It matches the Rfam family "Bacterial small subunit ribosomal RNA", at positions 524 to 776 of the family's 1533-position model. The record is from RNAcentral.
UACGGAGGGGGCGAGCGUUAUUCGGAAUUAUUGGGCGUAAAGGGCGCGUAGGCGGCUCGAUAAGUCAAAGGUGAAAUCCCUCGGCUCAACUGAGGAACUGCCUUUGAAACUGUAGAGCUUGAGUCCGGGAGGGGGUAGCGGAAUUCCCAGUGUAGCGGUGAAAUGCGUAGAUAUUGGGAGGAACACCAGUGGCGAAGGCGACUACCUGGCCUGUUCUUGACGCUGAGGCGCGAAAGCUAGGGUAGCAAACGGG